UACGUAGGGUGCAAGCGUUGUCCGGAAUUAUUGGGCGUAAAGAGCUCGUAGGCGGUUCGGUAAGUCGGAUGUGAAAUCUCCACGCUCAACGUGGAGGGGCCAUUCGAUACUGCCGUGACUCGAGUCCGGUAGGGGAGUGUGGAAUUCCCGGUGUAGCGGUGAAAUGCGCAGAGAUCGGGAGGAACACCCGUAGCGAAGGCGGCACUCUGGGCCGGUACUGACGCUGAGGAGCGAAAGCGUGGGGAGCGAACAGG
Molecule: ribosomal RNA, 254 nt
Filed under: uncultured bacterium
Lineage: Bacteria
Description: partial 16S ribosomal RNA
Rfam family: Bacterial small subunit ribosomal RNA
Source: RNAcentral